This 1428-nucleotide ribosomal RNA is filed under the name Triticum aestivum (bread wheat). RNAcentral's name for it is "partial small subunit ribosomal RNA". The record is from RNAcentral. Lineage: Eukaryota; Viridiplantae; Streptophyta; Magnoliopsida; Poales; Poaceae.
GGUUUCUCCGAGGUCCCAUGCAACUGCACCACCGGUACAUACAUAGCACAAGCAAUGGCUUCCGGCAUUCCCUCUCUGCUUUUCUGUCUGCUUCUUGCUGCUCCUCACCUUGGCAGCUCUUACCACACCAAUGGUGGAAAGCACUUUGUUGUCCGCUCAUCCGAUUGGAGGAGUCCGUCGACCUGCUCGCCCGUCCCUGGAGAUGGAGGACGGCUGCCGGUAAUGCAUCGGCUUAGCCCGUGCGCUCCUGCUUCUGGCGCCGGUGCCGGUUCGGGCCAAAGCAUGCCCUCGAUCAGCGACGCCCUCCGCCUGCGCGCCCUCUUCGGCGAUUCAGGCGACUAUAAAAAGUCCGGGGUGACGAUCCCCUCGAUCGGAACCCCACUCCAGUCUCUUCCGGGCGCAUCAGAGUACCACGUCACCGUCGGCUACGGCACCCCGGUGCAGAGACUCGCCGUGGGAUUCGACACGGCCACCGUGGGAGCCACGCUCCUCCGGUGCGAGCCAUGCGCCGGGAGCCGGUGCGGCAAGAAGCACCUCUUCGACCCGUCCCGGUCGUCUUCCCUCGCCCAGAUCCCGUGCGGCUCGAGAAACUGCCCGCUGAGCGACUGCUCCGGACCCAGCUGCACGGCAACCCUGAAAAAGAAGGGCGCCGUCGUGCUCAACGCCACCUUCGUCACCGACACGCUCACGGUCUCACGGUCGGUCGCCGUGGACGACUUCAGGUUCGUCUGCUUGGAGACGCGCGGCGCCAGCACGGAGGGCCGCUCGUCGGGAGUCCUCGACCUCAGCCGGGACCCCCACUCGCUGGCGUCGCGGGUCGUUCUCUCGCCGGACACGGUCGCCUUCUCCUACUGCCUGCCCUCGGCCUUCCCCUACUCGGCGGGCUUCCUCUCCUUCGGCGCCACGCGCCCGAACAUAGUGAGCUACGCCACCCUAAAGAGCAAAGCCUCCCACCCGAACCUGUACUUCCUCCGGCUCGUCGGCGUGAGCGUCGGCGCGGUGGACAUCCCGGUUCCGCCUCAGGCACUCGCCGGCGACGCGCUGAUGGAGCUGCACACGACGUUCACUUACCUGCAGCCGAAGGUCUACGCGGCCCUCCGCGAUCAGUUCAGGGGGUGGAUGGGGCAGUACCCUGUGGCGCCGCCGUACGGCGAGCUCGACACGUGCUACAACUUCACCGGCCAGAGCAGCGUCGGGGUGCCGGCGGUCGAGCUCACCUUCGAGGGCGGUGCGGGCCUGGAGCCCGGCGUCCAGCAGACGAUGUACUUCAAGGACCGCGGUAACAUCUUCUCAGUGGGGUGCCUCGCGUUCGCGCCGGUGCCUCCGCACGCACGGGGCAUCACGGUUAUCGGCUCCUUGGCUCAGGCGACGACGGAAGUGGUUUACGACCUGCGUGGAGGCAAGGUCGGGUUCGUCACCAAGAGUUGC